This 761-nucleotide ribosomal RNA is filed under the name Nocardioides sp. CB 286534. Its description in RNAcentral is "bacterial SSU rRNA". It matches the Rfam family "Bacterial small subunit ribosomal RNA", at positions 73 to 839 of the family's 1533-position model. Lineage: Bacteria; Bacillati; Actinomycetota; Actinomycetes; Propionibacteriales; Nocardioidaceae. The record is from RNAcentral.
GGCCCUUUCGGGGGUACUCGAGCGGCGAACGGGUGAGUAACACGUGAGUAAUCUGCCCUUCACUUGGGGAUAACCUCCGGAAACGGUGGCUAAUACCCGAUACGACCAUGGAUCGCAUGAUCUUGUGGUGGAAAGUUUUUCGGUGGGGGAUGUGCUCGCGGCCUAUCAGCUUGUUGGUGGGGUAAUGGCCUACCAAGGCUUCGACGGGUAGCCGGCCUGAGAGGGUGACCGGCCACACUGGGACUGAGACACGGCCCAGACUCCUACGGGAGGCAGCAGUGGGGAAUAUUGGACAAUGGGCGGAAGCCUGAUCCAGCAACGCCGCGUGAGGGAUGACGGCCUUCGGGUUGUAAACCUCUUUCAGCACAGACGAAGCCUCUUGGGGGGUGACGGUAUGUGCAGAAGAAGCACCGGCCAACUACGUGCCAGCAGCCGCGGUAAUACGUAGGGUGCGAGCGUUGUCCGGAAUUAUUGGGCGUAAAGGGCUCGUAGGCGGUUUGUCGCGUCGGGAGUGAAAACACCGGGCUUAACUCGGUGCUUGCUUUCGAUACGGGCAGACUAGAGGUAUGCAGGGGAGAACGGAAUUCCUGGUGUAGCGGUGAAAUGCGCAGAUAUCAGGAGGAACACCGGUGGCGAAGGCGGUUCUCUGGGCAUGACCUGACGCUGAGGAGCGAAAGUGUGGGGAGCGAACAGGAUUAGAUACCCUGGUAGUCCACACCGUAAACGUUGGGCGCUAGGUGUGGGGGCCUAUUCCAUGGGUU